GGAGAAAGCAGGGGAUCGCAAGACCUUGCGCUUUUGGAGCGGCCGAUGUCUGAUUAGCUUGUUGGUAAGGUAAAAGCUUACCAAGGCUUCGAUCAGUAGCUGGUCUGAGAGGACGACCAGCCACACUGGGACUGAGACACGGCCCAGACUCCUACGGGAGGCAGCAGUGGGGAAUUUUGGACAACGGGGGCAACCCUGAUCCAGCCAUGCCGCGUGAGUGAAGAAGGCCUUCGGGUUGUAAAGCUCUUUCAGCCGGAACGAAACGGUUACGGUUAAUACCCGUGACUACUGACGGUACCGGAAGAAGAAGCACCGGCUAACUACGUGCCAGCAGCCGCGGUAAUACGUAGGGUGCGAGCGUUAAUCGGAAUUACUGGGCGUAAAGCGUGCGCAGGUGGUUUUGUAAGUCAGAUGUGAAAUCCCCGGGCUCAACCUGGGAACUGCGUUUGAAACUACAAGGCUAG
RNAcentral lists this ribosomal RNA (464 nucleotides) under uncultured bacterium. RNAcentral's name for it is "bacterial SSU rRNA". It matches the Rfam family "Bacterial small subunit ribosomal RNA", at positions 199 to 644 of the family's 1533-position model. The record is from RNAcentral.